GACGAACGCUGGCGGCGUGCUUAACACAUGCAAGUCGAACGGAAAGGCCCUGCUUUUGUGGUGUGCUCGAGUGGCAAACGGGUGAGUAACACGUGAGUAACCUGCCCUUGACUUUGGUAUAACUUCAGGAAACUGGGGAUAAUACCGUAGAGGAGCUCCGGCUGCAUGGUGGGGGUUGGAAAGUUUCGGCGGUUGGGGAUGGGCUCGCGGCUUAUCAGCUUGUUGGUGGGGUAGUGGCUGACCAAGGCGUUGACGGGUAGCCGGCCUGAGUGGGGGAACGGCCACAGUGGGACUGAGGUACGGCGCCGACUACUACGGGAGGGAGCAGUGGGGGAUGGUGAACCAUGGGCGCAGGACGGUGGCUGCGGCGCCGCGUGGUGGGGGACGGCGUUCUGGUUGUAAUCUCCUUACAGCCAUGGCGAAGCCCUUGUGGUGACGGUAGUGGUAGAAGAAGCACCGGCUAACUACGUG
RNAcentral lists this ribosomal RNA (471 nucleotides) under uncultured bacterium. RNAcentral's name for it is "partial 16S ribosomal RNA". It matches the Rfam family "Bacterial small subunit ribosomal RNA", at positions 28 to 507 of the family's 1533-position model. The record is from RNAcentral.